This 440-nucleotide ribosomal RNA is filed under the name Alkalibacillus almallahensis. Its description in RNAcentral is "bacterial SSU rRNA". It matches the Rfam family "Bacterial small subunit ribosomal RNA", at positions 153 to 577 of the family's 1533-position model. The record is from RNAcentral. Lineage: Bacteria; Bacillati; Bacillota; Bacilli; Caryophanales; Bacillaceae.
GAAACCGGGGCUAAUACCGGAUAACGCAUCGAACCGCAUGGUUCGAUGAUCAAAGAUGGCUUCUAGCUAUCACUCACAGAUGGGCCCGCGGCGCAUUAGUUAGUUGGUGAGGUAACGGCUCACCAAGGCGACGAUGCGUAGCCGACCUGAGAGGGUGAUCGGCCACACUGGGACUGAGACACGGCCCAGACUCCUACGGGAGGCAGCAGUAGGGAAUCAUCCGCAAUGGACGCAAGUCUGACGGUGCAACGCCGCGUGAGCGAUGAAGGUCUUCGGAUCGUAAAGCUCUGUUGUGAGGGAAGAACAAGUGCCGUUCGAAUAGGGCGGCACCUUGACGGUACCUCACCAGAAAGCCCCGGCUAACUACGUGCCAGCAGCCGCGGUAAUACGUAGGGGGCAAGCGUUGUCCGGAAUUAUUGGGCGUAAAGCGCGCGCAGGCG